This 207-nucleotide ribosomal RNA is filed under the name uncultured bacterium. RNAcentral describes it as "partial 16S ribosomal RNA". It matches the Rfam family "Bacterial small subunit ribosomal RNA", at positions 568 to 774 of the family's 1533-position model. The record is from RNAcentral.
CACGUAGGCGGCCUGUUAAGUGUGGAGUGAAAUCCCACGGCUCACCCGUGGAACUGCUUCGCAUACUGGCAAGCUCGAGGACGGUAGGGGAGAGCGGAACUCUUGGUGGAGCGGUGAAAUGCGUAGAUAUCAAGAGGAACACCGAUGGCGAAGGCAGCUCUCUGGUCCGUUUCUGACGCUGGGGUGCGAAAGCUAGGGUAGCGAACG